UGGGGGAUAUUGCACAAUGGGGGAAACCCUGAUGCAGCAACGCCGCGUGAGGGAAGAAGGUUUUCGGAUUGUAAACCUCUGUUCUUAGUGACGAUAAUGACGGUAGCUAAGGAGAAAGCUCCGGCUAACUACGUGCCAGCAGCCGCGGUAAUACGUAGGGAGCGAGCGUUGUCCGGAUUUACUGGGUGUAAAGGGUGCGUAGGCGGCGAGGCAAGUCAGGCGUGAAAUCUAUGGGCUUAACCCAUAAACUGCGCUUGAAACUGUCUUGCUUGAGUGAAGUAGAGGUAGGCGGAAUUCCCGGUGUAGCGGUGAAAUGCGUAGAGAUCGGGAGGAACACCAGUGGCGAAGGCGGCCUACUGGGCUUUAACUGACGCUGAAGCACGAAAGCAUGGGUAGCAAACAGGAUUAGAUACCCUGGUAGUCCAUGCCGUAAACGAUGAUUACUAGGUGUGGGGGGUCUGACCCCCUCCGUGCCGCAGUUAACACAAUAAGUAAUCCACCUGGGGAGUACGGCCGCAAGGUUGAAACUCAAAGGAAUUGACGGGGGCCCGCACAAGCAGUGGAGUAUGUGGUUUAAUUCGAAGCAACGCGAAGAACCUUACCAGGUCUUGACAUCCGUCUAACGAAGCAGAGAUGCAUUAGGUGCCCUUCGGGGAAAGGCGAGACAGGUGGUGCAUGGUUGUCGUCAGCUCGUGUCGUGAGAUGUUGGGUUAAGUCCCGCAACGAGCGCAACCCUUGUUUCUAGUUGCUACGCAAGAGCACUCUAGAGAGACUGCCGUUGACAAAACGGAGGAAGGUGGGGACGACGUCAAAUCAUCAUGCCCCUUAUGACCUGGGCCACACACGUACUACAAUGGCUGUAAACAGAGGGAAGCAAAGCCGCGAGGCGGAGCAAAACCCUAAAAGCAGUCCCAGUUCGGAUCGCAGGCUGCAACCCGCCUGCGUGAAGUCGGAAUUGCUAGUAAUCGCGGAUCAGCAUGCCGCGGUGAAUACGUUCCC
Molecule: ribosomal RNA, 999 nt
Filed under: uncultured bacterium
Lineage: Bacteria
Description: bacterial SSU rRNA
Rfam family: Bacterial small subunit ribosomal RNA
Source: RNAcentral